UCCACGGAAUAAAGUAAAGCCGAGCCCCGGCGCUGCCGCCGCGCUGCGGGGAAGGGGCGGCCGCGGGUUGCCCGAAAAGCGGUCGCGGAGCGGGGUCUCACAGCGGAGCCGCUCCGGGCACCUGCGCUCGCCGCGGCCGCCCCGUGUCCCGCCGGCCGCCCGAGCCGUGCCCCGGCCGCCCGCGGAGCCGCGCCGAGCCCGGCCGGGCUGCGCCGAGCCGCGCCGAGCGGAGCGCGCCCGAGCCCGGCGCUCCGGGAGCGGCCGCUCGCACAGCCCGGCCCCGGCGCGGCGCGGGGGCUCCGCCGCUCCGCCCGACCGCUGCCGGCUCCCGCUCGCCCCGGAGCGAGGGCACCGCGGCUCCGCUCCAGACUCCUCCGAAGCCCGGCUCGGCGCUCCGCAGAGCGUGACAGCCGCGCCUCUCGCACGGCAUCGCCGCGGCGUGGCUCGGCUCAACCCCUUUAAGUUUAUUUCGGGGUUUUGCGGGUUCGGGGGUUUCGUGAGCGCACGUAGCCCGACACCGUAACACGACCUGCGUUCUGUACCACGAGCAGGUAACAGAGCGAAGCACGGGGACGUGUUUAUUUCCCGCUGAAUGGAGCUAGCGGCCAGCGGAGCGGGGACUCGAGUCCGUCUCCCGGUGAAAAUGGCCAAAAGACACUCGAACAAGCGAAGGGACGAAGAGAUAAAAUAGAAAACACGUUAACACAGACAGAUAAAUGCCCGGCCGGGCCAUUCCUCCUCUGCCACACACGCGUCUGUGAGCGCUCACAUCCCAGCCGGUCACCAAGCACGGCCGCGGGGACGCAGACCUGGGCACAACUCUGUAAGGGAUUAAUUGCCCCUCACGUCCUCACACACACUUUUUCAUGUUGCCACAUGCCCACACACUUCUGCCGCAGAAAUAAUACAUGUGGCUAAAGCCGCAGGUGCGGACAUGGUUGGAAAGUUGUAAAAAGCACCUCGACUUGAGAGUGUCCUGCAGGGAAACCUGGUGUGUUCAGAGCCCACGGGCGAAGAGGUUUUUGCCACUCAAUUUCAAAGACAAGGCUGCAGCGUUCUCAUUGAUCCUCACUGAGCAAAAAAUAACCUUUACCCGAAACAGUGACCAGGAGGGACUGGGAAGGCAGAAAGUGGGGAAGGAAUCUUUCCUGGUUAAAAUGUGGGGAACUGCCUUAUGAUUUCCAAACAAGCCAGAGCUGAGGAGGUGACCUUUCGGGGAGGGAAGGAGAAGGUGGGGGUUCAAAAUGCAGAAUAGCCACAGAUUGUUGCUGAUGUUGGAUUUCCUGAGGAAAAAAAUAAAAGCCAAAACCCAAACCACAACCCAACACCAACCUUUCCUGUCUCGAAUCUGACAAAGUAAACAGGAUUAAUUCACCAUAUGAAAAAACAUAAACGCCGUCCUAACAAAUGCAGAAAUCAGAAGAGAAAGCGGUUUUAACAGGACGCACAAUAUUAAUAGUUUGAACGUAUGAUCGUAAAAAUGAAAAACCAUUGAUAUACGCUUAAAAGCCGCCGUAUACGCUGAUUGCUCAAGCAUUAAUGAAGAAUGCCCCAGAUUAACUAUUUGCUCUUCGAGGGAUGCAGCGAUAUAACUAUCUAUUAGCACCAUUAGAUGCUUUGCUAUUUAUUUGAAAACACCCCUGCGAGUGGGUUGAGACAGAAGAGAUGAAUGUAAAAAUGAACUGCAGCUAAUUUCGCUAAAUAAUCCUCGAAACCUGAGCGCUUCGCAAGGAAGGGGGAGAUUCUCCACUGUCCUUCUCCGAGGCUAAUGACAAUAGAAAUGCUCUGGUUUAAAAGUGAGACCGUGUUGGCUUUCCAAAUAAACAAACGCAUCCCUCCUGCCAUUUUACUGCAGAUGUAAAUUUAUUUUAAUGAGAGGGAGUGGAAGGAUUUAUUUUGCUAAAAUUGAGUUGGGGAUAGAGCCGGUGUAAAUCUUUAGGUUUAAAAAAGAGAGGAGGAAGGAGGGGGAAGCUGCUUUCCUGGCAGAAAGCUGCCUAACAGUCCUCUAAUUCUUUCUAGAUUAAAUCGCAAUAUGAAUACAGCAUCGAACAAAUACCGAGUUUCGCUCUGAACUCAGUGGAAAGCAGUUACGUCUAACAGAAUUCAAUGAAUUCCUCUUCUCCCUCAAUGUAGUAUGUGUGUGUUUUUCUCUUCCACCACACUGAAGUUCCAUGAAUAGGGAAAGUGGCUCCUAUUGUGUGCCUCUGAACUUCCAAGUCAAUGCAAUUUUUAACCACUGGCUUGUGGUACUUUGAAAAUCACCAGGGGCUGUCAGAGUUGGGUCCUCUGAAAAAUUUACAGUGCUAAAUCAGAGCAUAUGCUGUGAGAGAGGAAAAAAAAUUGCUUAAGAUUGGAGCAAGUACAGUAUCUGGCUGCCCCCUAGUGUAAGUCUCUUAUCUGCCUAAAAUUCAACUUUAAAAGAAAAGGAUCUCUUAAAGGGAAACGACUUUUGGCUCACGUAUGCAUACGAGAAUGAAACUUCUGUACAUUUUAAUCUGAUUAAUUCCUAAGGAUUUAAAAUUAAUUGGCUUGGGCACUCCUAGACCGGACUAUAAGAUUUCUGCAUCAGGGUUUCUGCGAGAGCUGUGCCGAAUAGGUAUUUUUAAGGGAUAGUGGUAAGGGAUGGGGGGGGGAGAUCCUGUUUUGUGAUUUUUUUUUUUUAACGAGGAUCCGAGCCUCGCUUGCUGUUGUCAGAGCAAAACACUUCUGCUGCUUAAAGUCAGAUCUACGUCUUUUGCAAUAAUACUUAAAAAAAAAAAAAAAAGGAUAAAUAAUUGCCUUAAAGCCUCAGCCGAACUGCCAACCACACCUUCGGAUGAGCACAGAGCGACGCGAUCCCGGUCAGUUUAAUACCUAUCACUUAAGUUAAGAGCCUCGUCGUGCCCUCCCACCCUCCGGAGCAGGUCGGUCCGCGCUCCGCCCGAGCAGCGCCGGCUCCGGGCAGCGCCCGGCCGCUGCUCCCGGGGAAAUGACUCGGAGGCGCUUCGCCUCGGACCUGGAAGCCGGGUCCGGUCCUUGGGUUUGUUCGCUUGUUUGUUUGUUUGCUGCUUUGCUUUAUUUAGCUAAAGGACGUGCUAACUGAUGGUGCUGCAAUUACACAUACUUGGGUCUGCCCCCCUCCCCUCUUCCCCUCCUUAGAGCAACCCACGUAACCUUAGAAACGAUCGUUUAAGACGCACGUUAGCUAACAUUUGCUUUUUUGGAUUUUUUGUUUUCCUUAAAAGAGAAACACAAGAAUCACAACACAUUGCCCGAAAAAAGUGUCAAAGAAGAAGAAAAAAAACUAUAAGUAAACAUACCAAAACCAUAUUUGCCUUGUUCAAGGUCCCAAAUCGCUUGCAUCUUCCUUUUUCUACCUCUCCUUUAGUUUGGCAGGUGAAACAAACAAAUAAAAAAAAAAAAUCAGACCGCUGUUUGCCCCCCAGAAAGAUGUGCGUUGGGUAAUUAAAGAGAAGUCUCCUUCUUGGUGUUUAUCUAAGCGAUUGUGCAAACUGAUUAAAAAAAAAAAAAAAGAGAGAGAGAAAAAAAAAGUAAAGUUACAGCCUUCAGGGGGGGAAAAAAAGGAAGCAAGGUGAAGGGAAUAGAUUUCCCACAACCUAAAGGGAAGUGCUUUCGAUGUAUUAUUAGCGAUCAGCCUUGGGAGAGAGAGGAAAAAAAAAACACCCUGAACACACUCUAACUUUACACAGACAAGAUUUCAGGGGGGGCUUUGUACACAGCUGCUUAGGAAUGUGCGCCUUGCCUUUAAGAAAAAAUCCCCAAGCCCAAGGUAGGAGAUGUCUUUGAGUGAUCCUUGUCUCAUUUCAUUCCUUAGAAGGAAGAGCGUCUCGCUACACCUUGUUUGGAGCUGGAAAGGCGAGACUUUAAAAAAAAAAAAAAAAGGGGGAAAAAUAUUCACAACCCACCCUUCCAAUUGGGGAGAAAAAAAAAUAAGAGAGGGAAAUCUCCUAAGUUAAUGACUAUGGGGGUAGGAUGGAUGCGACGGAUUUCAGCCCCCCCUCCCCCCCUUUCCCACCUCCCCCCUCCCCGGCAGGAAAAAAAAAAAAAAACGAAAAGGAAAAAAAAAGCCAACCGCAAACAACUACAGGCUGGACUAUCAACACAUGCACCGAAGGGGAAAAAAUAUAUAGUGUCCUGUGUAGGGUCGGCAGGGAACGCAAGCACACGCUAAAGCAAGUUGGGAAAGAAUCCGAGCUAAUCAGCAAUCUCUUUCUCUCUCUCUCCUUCUCUCCCUCUCCCCCUCUCUCUCUCUCUCUCACUGCCCCUGAGAUCCCAGCUCGAAAGAGGUACUCCACAUUUUUUCAUUACCAAAAAUCCGUUGCAAUAAUCAUUUGUUGCUAAUUGAAACCCUUGGAGACAUUUUUCCCCACCCCCUUCACAAACAUGGCAACUUUUAGUCAUGGGAAGCACGUUUAGUUUUAUUUUAUUAAAAAAAAAAAUACGGUUAGGAAAAGGCUGAAUCUUUCACCCACGAGAAAUAUCAGCGAGUCAGCCCCCUUCCCCGGGAUGGGAGGGGGGAGUGGGGGGAACGGGACCCCGGUACAGUGAGGGCUUGGGAAAAUUUGGAAUACAUUAUACCGCCUUUGGCAGGAGAAUACUCUCCAACUAAUGGAUUCCUGCUCCUUUUUGUGUGUGUGUGUGUAUCAGUGUGGGGGGUUUCUGGAAAGAGGGGUGGUGGUCGUGGUGGUGGGGAGCCGAGCUUUUAUUUUAAGAAACUGUUAGGGUAGGGAGUGUGUCAUACUUGACAAAUGGAACAAACGCUCUUCCAUUUCUUGCUUGUCCUUGCCUUAAAACAGGAAUUAAGUUAACCACAGUGCUGCAUGUUAAUUGCAUGUUUACUGGGCUAAUGAAAAUUACAAAAGGGUUUUGCCACCUCGAUCGGUGAUGAAAAAGUAUGAAGGCGAUUGUCAUUGCAGCCUUCGGGGAGGGCCCGGGGGGUGGGGGGGAAGGACCGGGCACGAACAAUAUUGAUCAGAAGAAGGAUAAAUCUUUUAACUGCUUGUUAAUACCAUAAAUAUGGUCUACACAAGUUUCCACUCUUGUUAAGUCUAAUCAGUACAUGGACGAUGGAGACAUAGCCCACUUGAAUGAAUUUUUAUUAUUGCCAGAGGGGUACUUGCAUCUGUGGGCUCCCUCCCCUCCUCAAUUUGAGCACCCCCCCCGCCCCCCCUUCCAAAAUUCCCCCUUGCACAGGAGGAUCGUGAAGGUGUGCAGAAAGCACAGGAGACAAAUCCAAGCUUUUUGUCCUUUCUUCAUUUUUCCAAAAGCUCCUUUAUUUUGUAAAGCUGAACGGGUCAUGGCGGGGAAAGCCUAAAGGGGGGGACACCCCUGCCAGACCCCCCCUGGCCCCCCCUUUUAUUCUUGAGAUCUCUGGAUGAAAGGCUGACCCAGUAAUUCAGUUUGAUGAUAACCAUUUUCAUGCUUGAAAACAAUCUGCCAAAUUAAACCUAAAUGGAAAGAGCAGUGGGAAAGGUAGUGAGAGCAGGGCGUUUUGAAAUCCCCCCCACCUCUCCGAAAGGGAUUAUUUGGCCAAAGGAGGAGGGAAAGGCAAUUAAAUAGACUAAAGAUGAUUUAAAUCCUAACCAAAAAUAAUUCCAGGGAGAAGUUUGCCCCCUCCGGUGUUGCCCAGCCCUGGAUUUGAAAACUUUGGCCCAACUUGUGGCAAUAGCUACAACUUUGCUCCGCAGGGGUCAGAGGUGAGGGCUAUUUUAACCCUAAAAGCCUGCGAGUGACCAAGGUUGCGGCUGGGCUCGCAGCACUAAUAGCCAUAAUUACCUCCUCCCCUUCCAGGGACAUUCCUCGCAGCAGCAGUGUUAGAAGCCGAAUUGAAGAAAAUCCUGGAGUUGAACAUAUCUUCGGGGGUAAAUAACAGCAAUAUGAAGGAAUUUCAGAGCUCUCCCUUUCGCUUGGGGGGAUUGAAGCUUUUUUCCUUUUUUUUUCCCCCUCUUUUUUUUCCUUUUUUCCUCCUUCCCCCCCCCUCCCCCCCCGCCUUGCCAGCAUUCCCAAGGCGCUGGGUCUUUGUCUUAGAAGGAAUGGAGUGUCUGAAUGGUGUGAAAGGGACAGAGAGGGUUGCUUCAAAUCGAUUUUACUUGUCCUCUCUGUCUUUUCGGAUCAACGCCCUUCAAUGGACACAUAGGUGCUCUUUCAACCAAAAACUUGUGCAACAUUUUCUGCCUGUAUUGGUGCUAAAUACAAUAAAUGCUGGGCAGAUUUUUUUUUCUUUCUUUCCAAAGCAGAAAGCACCCUAAUUAAAUUGUUUUAUAUGGACAGUCAAGACAGACCAAUUAAGUAUGCAUUAGUAUAAAGAUAUAUUCGAGAGAUAAGCGCUCUAUAGGAGCCCUGUCUGGGCAAGGUGUGGAAAGUGUCCUCUCGAAGAGAGGCUGUGAGCAGGGUUUCAUAUGGAUUUUUCCCCUCCAUUGCCUCCUAUACUCGAGUAACGGGCUGAAUAAGUUAGAGAAAAGCCAUUAGUGAAAGUGGUUUCUAAACAAAGUUAACAGGUGGAUGUAGCUGGUUUUACAUUUGAAUAACAGUCGCACAUCUGUAAUACACAGCCCCGGAUUUGUGCAGCGCCUGUGCAGGCAAUGUCCAUUUGCAGAGACAAACGCCUUCGACCUAGAGCUGAGGUGCAAACGCACACGCACGGGGAUAAAAUAAAUAUCUGGGCACCUCUGUGGGCUGCAGGACACGAUGUGAGCGAGCACACAGAGACGAUGCAGAUAUCACUGUGUGGCCAUUGUGUGGAGGCACCCAGGCUGCCUCGGACAGGCACCCACAGCAGGCACUGCUGCCUCGGACACCUCAGCGGGCACACACACUCCUGGGGUAAUUGCAAGGGGAGGCAUUGGCUUUCCCAGGAGUGAAAUAGCAGAUCAGGAUAAAACACACACAAACACACGCGAACUUCUCUGGCUGCCUAUUUUAUCACUCUGGGAAAGCUCUCGUUAUGGUUAACCACAGGAAACGGGCUUUAAGCUCUUCUCCAUUCCCAUUAUUAUUAUUAUUAUUAUUUUCCUUCACUGAAGCUUUUCCAUGUCGUUCCAAAAAACCACCCCAAACAAAAAAAGACCCAGACAAACAAACAAAAAUCCCACAGAGCCCCCAGCAGCCCUGCCUCAGCCUGGUCCUGGGGCAGGCAGAGCCGCGGGAUGCGAUGAAGAGGAGGGCAGAGGCGGGCUGGGAGUUGCUGGGGCACCCUCCAUCCCUGGGCACAUCGUUGGCACCGGCUGAGGCUGAGCUGGGGGAGCCAGCCCUGUGCCCGAAGAUGCUGCAGGGUGGCUGCGAGCGGGGAGUCGCCCUUUCAGUGCCGUGACACUGCAGCGCAGAGAGCGGCCGGGGUUUUAUGGAGGGGUCGGGGAAGAGGGGAUCGAGGGGUUCAGGGAUGCAGGGCAGCGCUGCGGGGGCUGCCCGCUUGGAUUCCCAUUUUCCAGCAGCGCCCUGCGUGUGUCAGCCCAUCCCAGGGAUGUGGGAGACGGGGAUGAAUAAGACAUUCCUCGCUUAGGUGCUUUAAUGGCACGGUAAACAGGUUAGAAACAGACGUUUUUAGAGACUCAGUUUUUCUUUAUUGGUCACCUUCGAGGAUAAAUCAUAACAGACAGUAUGGGGGGCAAAGAAUUCAUCUAAAGGAGAUCUCAGCAAGUCACUACCCGGACAAUAGUCCACCUCCUGUUGGGUUGCGUAUUGAUCAGGAGAGGAGCUGAGGAUGUCGCCACACUAAAUAUUUACUGAUCACACACAAAUAGCCGCGACUUGAACGAUUUUCUCCUGUGAGGAGAGCAGAGAGAGAAGGGUAAAUCAUUUUAUUAGUGUGUAUAAAGCAAAGAGCACACUCUGGCUUGGAGUGUUUUAAAAUGUGUCUUCAGCUGGAUGAAAAGAGUUAGGGAAAUCGAUAUGGAGUGAUUAGACGAACCAGUCGUGUCAAAGAGAGAGGCUGUGAAUUUCAUGGAUUUGGUUAUACCGGGAGGGGGAAAAUAUACCGAGAGAUUAAAGGGAGGAACCCAUUGUAGCAGAGCCAAUGAAAAAAUAAUAUCUAAUCAGAGCCGGCAAAGGUAGGGACGGGAUAAGACCCACAUUUCUAAAGAAUCACAUCAGCUGGAGAGGGAUCAGGGACGCAGAUGAAAGAGGCAAACGGGGGGAGAGCUGGAGAGUAGGAGCCUAGAAAUGCUACAGAGCAAAUCCAGGAGAGGCAGAGAAAAGUCGCCUCUGUGGAGCAAAGCUGAGAUACCACGAAAAUGGGGACAAAAGGCUCAGGAGCGAGGGAGAGGGCUGGAGUGAUCGGGCGCCUGCCUUGGAGGUGAAGUUGAGGGGUGCCCAGCCCGUGUACCCACCAGGCAGAGAGGGCUCUGACAGCACAUCCAGCUCCCAUCCGAGGGGUUUAAAUCCUUCUCCUACAAGUUUGUCCUCCCCUCUCCUUCCCGCCCCCCUCUCUCCCCACAAGCAAAUGUGGUGAGUAAAAUGGAUUUUAGCGUUUAACCACCUCAUUUUAUCCACGUAAUGACAAGGCUCGUAAUAUGUAAUCUACAGAUUACUGCCAUUCGAGGGUGACCACAAGUGGCAUAGGAAAAAAUUUAAAAAAAUAAAAAAAAAUUCAGCAUUUCUGCAAAUGACAAAAUGGCUAAAACCAGCCCUUGCUUUAAGUAUUGAAGCUGGGGAGUUGCUGCUGCAGGAUUUUAUCGGUUGUAGGGAGCAAUUUAGCCGUGGCUCAGGUACAGCCCUGGGGUGUCUCGGCGGAUUAAAGAAAACUUUGCUGGAGACAAGCAAAUAUCUGAGUGCCAAAGGGCAGAAAGCUGGGACUAGGGCAGGGCUCUGCCAUGCGACAUUGAAAUACGUUCUGUGGGGAUGCUCGGGAUUAUGAUUAUUGUUUUUUUGCCUCGAAUCCGUGAUGUUUGGCCCGUGUUCACAUGCUACCUUCUCUCCGCGUAGUUUUCUUUAGCAGAAAAUAGGAUGCGACUGCAGAGAACUAAGUCAAAGCAGCGAGAGAAAGUUUGUACCGCACUUUAAAUGAUGCUGAUUGCUGGGAGGGAGGAAAGGCAUCUCAAGCUAGGAACCGAGGAGUAAAACUGAUGUGAAAACAGCUUUUCACUUCUCCUCCAAGUGCUAAUUUUGCUACUGUAAACAAACACUGAAGUUAGAAACAGCUGCAAAUAGCCUGCCGGGCACCCAGGGCUCAGGGACCGGAGGGGGUUGACUUUUGUUCAUCUCUCGGGCUGAAUUUUCCCCCAGUUUUGCUUUUUUUUAACCCCGAAAUCAGGGGCUGAUGCUGAUUUCAGUCGUGGAGAAGGGACAGAAAGUUAGGCACACUAAGAACAUUUCAUGCGAGCCUAUGGAGUGCAGGCAGCUCGGCUGGAUCUCUAAUGCAACAGGAAACCUCGGGACAGACUCAGCCUAAUUAACAGUUUUCCAUAGCUGAAGCGAUUUUUAAGAAUCCCAGUGGAUUAGCCCAAUAUGUUCAGGUGUGAGGCUACGAGGGCCUAUAACUCCUUUCACUAUAAUCUUAUAACCUCCUUACCUAAUUCCUUAGAUUGCAGAUAGGAAGAGUCUGACCCUGGAGGUCGUAAAGAGCUGGGUUUCAUUAACCCUUCCCUCCCCGGCGCCGCUCCAAGGUUAACUGCGCCGGGCUGUGUGCUCGGGGGAGCGAGGGAGGGCGGCCGGGAGAAAGGGAUUUGCAAGAGGGGUCGAUCCGCCGGGAGGGCAAAGCUUAAAAUGAUUUUUGCUCCCUUCAUUCCCUCCCUUCAGCCAAAGGAAAGAUGGAAAUGGGGAACUUUUCUGUUUCCUAUGCAUCCGGAGGUGUAUAAAUGUACGGAUGUUUGUGAGGCAAUUCAUUCCCUUCACAACAUUUCAUUAUUGUUUAUUAUUUUUAAUUUUUUUUUUGGUCCAAACGUGGAGGAAAUGAAACAUUCUAGAACCAUCAGCAAAAAGCAAAGCAAUCUCCAUCUUUAGGACCAGCACCAAUCUCUUGAGCUUCUUGUCCACAGCAGAGCUGUAAUCUUUAAAGAAAAAAAAAAUUCUAGAGAAGCUUCUCAGACUGUAUUUGCCUGGGAACACACCUGGUUUAUAUUUUAAUAGGUAGUUACAUUGUAUUGAUUCAGGGUACAUCAUUGAUGUUGAAAGUUAAUAACUCUCAAAUUAUAUCUAUCUGCCUACAUACAUAAUUGCAUACACAGUGUAACACUGGAGGAAUUUGCAUUUUGCAGCACAUUCUUUGUUCUUAAAUCUUUUAACACACUGAGUUGUUCCUUUGAAGAAAAUGUUAUUGAACCACAUGUUUAAGGAAAAGAUGCUUCUAAACUAUAUGUUUAAGCAAUGAAAUUGUUGAGUGAAAUACAGAUUUCUUUGUAUCUCACACAAACCUUGCCACACGCCAAUCUUAACCUACACAUCGAACUGCCUUUUUUUUCUUUCUUUCUUUUUUUUCCCCCUCCCAGUUAGAAGGCAGAAAUAUGUGAACUGCUGAGAGAGGUGGGUACUUUUUGGUAAGUAUGUUUAGAUAUGAUCUUCAGAUACAUUUAUUGUACUUUCAAAUUCUUGGGAUACUAAUUGAGCUAGCAAACAAUAUCCCAGCUGAAUGUCUCAGCUUCUUCCCUAUUUAACAGGCUUUAAUGUAGAAGUAUAUUGUAGCCAUCCUUCUACUAAACAAUGUAGCUGAGGAGUCAGCAAAAAAUAAAAAAAACAUGUUAAAACCAAAUUAUAAUUGCUGCCUUAUAUCUGACUCUUCUUCCUUUCUGCAGUCCUAAUGAACUCUUUAAAGUUUUAUUUAUUUAUUUUUUUACUUCUGAGUGACAGAUCAAAAAUAAUUAGCAGAAUCAGAAGCAGCCGGGAAGCUUGAAAUAAUGUGUCUAAAUAUUUCAUAUUGCUACUUAUAAUACCAGCCCUUCAGCUGUAAAAAGGAACCAUUCCCUAUUUAUUCUGUGGUGGUUUAUAAAUACAGAAGGAUAGAUUCUUUUUUUUUCCCAGGGCCUGCCUCAACGAUGCCAUAAAUAGAGAUUGAGCUAUCAGGAGGAAAAAAAUAAAAAAGAAUAAAAUAAAAGCAAAGCCCUGGAUAGGAAUAGAGACAGACAGAUAAAUGUAUAACUGCAUCUGAACAAUGUUACGUAGCACAUUCGGAGUUGGUAAAAAAAAAAUUAAAUCUAUCGCAUAUUUAUAACCUCAUAAUUAAAAUACAUUCUUAUCUCUCUCCUCUGAAAGGUUGCAGCUUUCUUGGAAGUAUUUUGAGUGCAUAUUUUAAACUCCAUGUCUCGAACUGAAUUAAGAUGAGCUGUUUUGCCCAAGAGUAAAACCUUUGUUUACAAUUUAAUAUUUAACUUUCAGCUGCCUACCCAUUGCCAUAUCAUUUUCUUUAGAUUUCACCUCCUUACAUUUGCAGGCUUUAUUUAAAAUGAUGUUAGUUUAUAUCAAAUCCUAAUUUCUUAUCGAAAGAAAUGAGUUGAUAUAAUCCAAAACAGUCCUCCUGGUCUGACGGAGGUAAAUUGGAUGAGAAUCUUUCACAUUCAAAGGGUUAAAGCUAAAGCAAAAACUUUAAAGCAAAGAGAUACCAGCAAACAGUGAAAAAUAGUACAUCUGCUCUCUCUUGACAAGCUUGCAUUAUAUCACAUGUAAGGAAGCCCAAAUUUUUGAAUCUAAGACCAGUUUUAGUUUUUAAUAGGAAAUAAUUACAUGGAACUUUAUUUCCAGAGAGAAUGUCCCUUCCAGCUACAGUGUUUUGCUUUGAUCUAAGUAUUAACUGGUAAUAAAAUAACCAUAUUUUGGAUCCUAAGCAUAUUGAUGCUUAGAGGAAUGUUAUGCUUUCAAUCAAAUUUUAACUUUAGAUUAUCCGAAGGUAUUCAUCCUUCUUUUGUCAGAAACCAAUUUGCUCUCUUACUCCUACAGCUACUCACAUGUGGUUUGGUACACUUUGUUAUUUUAUAGUGGAAUUUGCACUGUUGAGGUGGAAAACUUUUAGAUGGAAUGAGAUCAUGUUCCAGCCUGGCAAUUUGGGCUGUUUCUCAUACAGAUCCCCAGCCCAGCCCUUCUUUACACUUGUUGUGCACCACCACCAUCGCUCACCUCCGAGGGCGACCACCGCGUCAGGAUUUUGUUUUAAAUAUUCAGAUUUUAAAAUUUAUUUAUUUAAUUUUUUUAACCUGGAGAAUCAAUCAUUUGGACCCAUCCUGAACAAUUAACCUCCCCUUUAUAUUACAGCCCCAAGUGCAGUACUUCAUAAAGACAUGAAAAGGACAUCCCAGUCAGCAGGACCCGAGCCCAGGCUUGUCACAGAGUAUAAAGGGAGAGAGAAGGGGAGUUUUUAUCUCUUUGCCCCGCCAAUUCUUAAUAGUUCUAAGUUUCAGUGUGACAAUAAAACAGUUUUGAUAACAUAGCUCAUGGGUUUCUCUGCCACAUAAAGUUUUCUUAAUAAUAAAAAAGAAGAAACUUUAUCCCUGCUAAAUUAAAAUAGGGCAGAUGUUGGAUAUGGUUCAUAUUAGGCAGCCUUUCACCCCUUUGCCCCUGGCACUAAAGUUCUGACUUUUUCUUUCUACUAUGUCUGUUUCUAACUGAAAGGUAUUAUUCCUGCCCUGGCUCUCUUCUUCUAUUUAUUUUUUCAGUGUCUAAAAUUAAACCUAUUCAUUUAGUAAUAUACAUUCUAUUUCACAUUGCUAAACCUGGCCAGAGAGGGGAAACGCUUUCCAAAAAAGUGAUGCACCACUGACCUUAAAAGAAAACAUGAAGCAGGCAAAGCUGUUCUUAAAAGGUUUAUUUCUAGAGAAUUUUGUAGCUCUGUUGACAUUAUAGGGAUAAUGGCUGUAUUGCAAUGGGCUUUCAAGGCCCAAGAGGUUUAUGUUUUCUUCUGACCGUAAGUCUAAUAAAAUUUUAAAGGUGCACAAAGUCUCAUCACUUUAGAUAUUUAAAACUAGUUUGAAAAAUCUCUUGGGAGACAUAUAUUAUAGUGGAUAGCCCCACUGAGAAAGCAGGGGAUAGACAAAAAAAUACCCUGAGUCCAAACCCAAAUAAACCCCCCCAGUUUUUUUCAUGCUAGCUCUAUGAAAAUCCUGGCUAUUAAACUCCCAAGGAUAGUACAGCUAUUUUCUGCAGGGCUCUGCAGAUAGAAUUUAUUGUCCAUUUGGAAUGAUCAAGUUUAGGCUAAUAAAAGGCCCUCUGUAAGCAGAAAUGCCCAAGUUGAUGUUUGGCAGAGUUUUCAAUGGUGGAGUUUAUACAGGAUGGGGGCUCUGCACUAUUUGAAAUAACUCCUAUCCCAGCAGCUGAGGAUGAUCUGACACACAAGUAAACGUUAGCAGGCAGUGACUGAAGGUUAAUCAGCACUGCUCUCUGAGCUGGGUGCUUGAAAGCAGGAAAAAGUGAAAGCUGCUUUCUCUAGCCCUUCCCUAUGCUAAGGUGCUGCUAACUUUUAUGAUUUUUUCCCCCCUUCCUCUUUUACUAUCUGUCUUUGUGCCUGAGGGCCAGUGAAAGAACACUGCAGAUUCUAGAUUGCUUUCAGAGUUUCCCUUUGCUGAUGAUGGAUUACCAUGUCAAUUUAAACGGCAUAGGAUUAAUUUGUUUCAAUGAUUUCUCUUUAGGCUGAAUGCCAGUCUUUUUUUCUAUCUCUCUCCUUGCUCUUCAGAAAAAAAUAAUAACAAUAAUAAUAAUAAAUCCUUAAACCCCCCAAACACUUUUGAGAUCCCAUGUUAAAAAGACAAUAAUAGAAAUAGACAAGUUAGGUGUAAUGUUGCAACACAGUUGUAGGUUUGAGUGUUUUUAUCUCGUUCUGAGGGGCUGCAGCAUACAGUCAGUCACAUUAAAAUGAAAUUGGAUCCAACGUUUAUUCAAUAAAUACUUGUCUUGUAGGUAAUCCAGAACAGAGUGCUUUUGACACAUAAGGACUUAAUUUGUCUUGGAUAACAAGUUAUUAAUAUGGCACAUUUAAACUUGCCACCUACAAUAAGGUCAUUUAGAUCUAUAAUACGACUCACGAGAGAACUUCAUAAAGCCAGAAACAAAGUUUGAAACUGCCUCUGAGGCGCGGAGCAGACGCACGGCUCACGGUUUGCUCUUUUCAGAAGAAAGUUCAGAGCAAGUAGGAGCCACCCAAACCCAAAUGGUGUGCAUCUGCUCCUCUUUGAAAGGCAAACGUAAAUGGAGUAAGGAGGGGAGAGGGGAAAAAAAAAAAAAAAAGAGGAACCCAAACACACAUUUUUGAAUGAGUAAGCUUUAAAGCUGUGCUGCGUCUGCUCGCAAACUCAUCGCAGCUUUGAAAGUGAAAAAACAACAUUUGGUUCAGAGUGGAAAUUCGCCUGCAUUUGCACCCUACCUCUUCCAUGUGCUUCGCAAUUUACUCGCUUUUAAUAAUAAGUGAGGAAGUUGGAACAUAAUCCACCCAUAAAUGUUACUGCUGUAAUUUGACUGCUCUGUGUUUGUUCAUGCAUUAGUUGUCUAUGUAGAGCGAAGUGGGGAUGGAUGCUGGGGAUCCCCGUGCAGCACGAACAAACAGAGCUGUUUGGGAUUUCAACACCCAAACACCCUGCAGUUGUUUUCAGCUUUAGUUUCAGACCUGUCCUAACUCAGUGGUGCCUGCAAGAGGUGCAUCAGGAGGGGAAUAUUGUGGGAAUGCUGCUCGGGAUGUGUUUGGUGAGUGGCAAUUCGGUCUCCACGCUGUGUCCCUGAGCUUUGUUAUUCUGCUUUUCUGUACUGAGCUCCUGGUUGCUCUUGCCCUGGCAGAUUCUGUCUCUUUAAGUAACUAAAUCUCAUUUUUAAGCUAUUCCUGGGAAAAGGAUGUUACACAUGAGUAGAAAAAUGCAGGCAAGAAAGGCUAAUUGAAUGAAAAGGGAGAAUUAGGUUAAAAAUAGAGUACAAUCUAGUAUCACAUUUUCACUAGUGUAACCUGAAAUGAAGGUGUCUCCAAGUCCCCAGUGAUGCCAGAGUGUUUAGAUGUUGGGCACAGAUGGAGACACCUAUUGAAAUGUGUCUGAAGAAGAUUAAUAGGACUUGUCAGUGUUGGGAAAGCACUGCUUUGCUGUAAAUUUCUACUAGCACAAGAUGAAUUACCGAUGAAUGCUCAGUUAUCAACCCCAUCACUAUCAUUGGACACUAAAUCAAAUUGAGCAGUUAUCUACAAUCAGAAAAUUUCUUUUAAAAGUAGGCAUGCACCUUUAGGCUUAAACUCUUUAAUAAGACAAUAUCCUCGAUGGUAUGUGUGUGUUCACUAAAGGAUAUGAUUAAAAGUUUCUGGACAAAAAGCUUCUAUUCAGAAAUGAACUCCAAGUUCAGUGUGAAAUGAGGGUUGUCAAACAAUAGAAGAUACUCAGGAAAUGCUGGUUAUAUAGUACAGAGUUCUGAUGGGUUCUGAUCCAAAAUGGAUUUUCAUGAGUGUCAUUAGAUUUUGGACCCAUCCCUAUUUAUGAGAGGUUUUUCCAAUCUCUGCUCUCCCCUUAUUUAUGGUCAUGAUAAACCCACCCCUUCUCUCUACCUGAAAGACUGAGCAUCCAAAUCAUACAUUAAUGCAAAACAGCCAUCAUGAGUCAGGAUAUAUGUAUAAUAAUAUUACCACCCCCCAACAUAUUUAGGAAAUAACAACUUAAUAUAAUGAACUACGUGAUGAAAGAGUCAAUGAAUAAUAUUUUAGCUGAGAAUAUUUCUUUCUCUCCUUGAUGAAAGGGGAAACUGUCACAAGCAAAACUACCACACGCAUUUACCAGCCCACUCCCGAAGAAUAUUAUCUGCAUUUACAAUCUGAUGCUGCUGAAGACAAUGAUAUUAAAUAAGCUUUACAUACUUUUAGUUUCUAGGAUUUCUUUCCCUCUCACCCAGACACUGCGUACUAUAUCCAAGGAGAUUUAUCAUCAUGUGUUUUCCAAAGUCAAUUUUUCCCUUUUUUUAGAGACAAGGGCAGUCAUUUGUGUUUAGGGGAGGGAGACAGGUACAGAGCCUUUAUCUGAUCUGCGUCCCCAGCCACCACCACCUUCUUAAUCGACGGCAGAUCCCCACUCUGGAGGAUCUGGCCCUGUCUGGGUUACUUCUUAGCCAAGGAUUGUUUCCUUCCCUUCAUCUCCUCAUGUCUCACCUGUGAUGCAUGUUGCUUUUUGAGAAGGGAAUAAUACACUGUUUACCACACAGCCCAGUUUCAAAGCCUUUGUGCGUUUCUCAUCUCCAGCCAAAGCUUAUUAUUUACCACCCUAAAAAUUCACCAGGGUAAAGGAUAGCAGAAGUUGUUUUCUUCAUUUUUACACCCCAAUUUUCACACAGCAAAUGCCCUGCAUUAGGACCAGAUCCCACUCAGAUGGAAGUUAUUAACUUUCAGCAGAAUGGGGCUGAUUUCAGCCAGCCACAGCCUGUGCCCUUCGAGCACAGUCGCUUUGCAGCAUCCCUGUGUUUAUUUUUUUUCUUUGGAGGGCAUGAUUCUUUAAACAUAUUUAUUUUACACAGAGCAGCAGUAGAAUCCUAACUUUUUUUCCCCUCACAAACAUGUAAAGAGAAUAUUAAUAGGGAAUAUUAACAGAGGUGAGUGCAGCAUGAAGCUAGUUAGGUUGUAGUAGCUGAGAAAUAUGAACUAGUGAACAUAAUCCAUAAACUCCAUUUGGUUACUAUAAUACUCCAAUCUGUAUUUAUUACAACCCCACUCUGAUGCUUAUACAACUGCAAUUGCUAGAUUUAUACACUCUAAUGAUUUCACAAUAGGAAAAACCUGUGUCUUUAUCUUUCUUUUCCUGUCCAAAAUAACCCCUUCCACAUAUACUUCAGGCUUCUCCGGACCUUGUCUGGGUUUAAUCACAGGCUUUGGGACAAAAUGUGCAUUAUUAAGAAGUAUAAAUAUUUUCAGAAGCAAUCAAAGGGUUGAAAGAUUGAUUCGGCAUGUAGAUUGGAUUUAAUUCGAAGCAGCUUUGUUCUAAUGAGGACUACUGGGAUACAAAGACGGCAGCCGCUUAUGGCCACCAGUUGGGAACUCCGACUCGCUGCAGCAACCUGUCAAGAAUUCCAAGAAACUGCCAGGUAUUGAACAGAGAAGUGGUGGGGAGGACGCUGGUCUGUUGUUUGCAGCCUCCUUCUGAGACUGGCUUAGGAUUUCGUAAGUCUCUAUUUUACAAAAUGACAAUUCAGCUUCUUGCUGCCCACAGGGACAAAUCCUGCAGUCCCUCACUCGGGGAAAAUCCCUAUGGACUUUGUGGGUGGCUUUGCCUUGAGGGAAAGGUGGCAAAGCUUGGCUGAGCCUCAACUCCAGCCAGUUUGGGAGCUGUGUAGCAAUUUGUACUGCUCCCAGACCUGGCUGCUUUCACAGUGAUUUGUUCCAUUCAGUUUUGCUAUCUGCACUUCUAGGUGUGAUGGGAUCUUUUGGCAUAGGGAGGUGUUUAUCCCUAGGGAGGAUGACAGCUCUGUGAGGGCUUGGAAGCUCCUGUCCUUGUUGGGUGACCCAGCAGAACUGCUGGACCCGUCCUGUUUCCUGCCUGCAAUGCCCAACAAAACAUUCUUGGGAUGAUGCUGAACCAAAGGGCACCCUUGACUUCUUUCCCCUCAGACUUAGAAAACCCCAACAGUAAGAUGUGAGUGUGGCCCUGGGGGGUGUCACGUCACAGGUACCUGGCUUCCUAAACACUGAGCGUACAGUCGGAAUCACAGGAUAUACAGGAUCAAACAGGGACCAGUUUCUCUUUCCCCUUAGCCCCCCCUUGCCUACUUUUGUCCAUAAAAGCAAUAGAAAGAGAGAAAGCUUGAAUUUUCUGAACUGUUUCACCCAUCCACAGCUGGAAUUCCAAAGCGAAAUGAAAAUGCCUUUAAAAUCAACCCUACAUGGGAGCCUGAGAGAACAAGUUUUCCUUUGUUGUAGGGUAUAGUAUUAUUUGCUGUAGGUUUUUGAUAUACAUUCUAAAUUAGGCCUGCAAAGGAAUGCUUCAUCUUUAAUUCAUCACUCUCAGCUGAAAGAGAUUAGCAAUGUCUAGCACGCACCCUUCGUAUGGUGCUGACCUCAUCAAGUAUGGCCUGAAAUUAAUUAGCCUCAUUCAUUCCAAAUGGAAAAGGAUAAUGGAGCUGCAUUUUAGAGAUGACCAUCACAAAUUGUAUGCAGCAUAUUUAAAAACUUUCCCCCCUCGCUCCCCUUCCCAUUUAAAAAAAACCUAUGUAGAUUAAAAUUCUUUCCAGAACUUGCAAUAUGUCGGAGUUAUCGAGGCAUUAGGAGCAGAAACCAUUCCGUUUUUAUUUGUGGAACUGGGAGCCACAUUUUGUAUGUGUGGCUGUAAAAGCAGCAAGCCUGUCUUAAUGGCAGAACACCUGGAAUUAAUUUGAUAUUUCCAGGUGCUCUGGCAAACUGGGACAUCAAGCACUUGAUGUUUAAACAUUCUUCCACUGGCUUGCUUAAAUCAAUAUGAAAGUGGUGUCCCUUUGUCAUUCAUACAUGCAAAGUGCUAGCACAAACUCCAGCUUGGCUUCAGAGUCCUACAUCACUCAUAAUCUAAUUAGAAAUCAGAGCAGAGCUGAAGCAGCAUUCUUUGUGGAUUCUUGGGCAGCAAAUAGGGAUACUUGUCUUUUGUUUCCCUCCUCGAUUGCAUCGUUCACAAGCUUUCACACCACAUCUCUAAAGGUGGUUAGGUGCCUCAAGAUGUUGACAGGCAUGAAGGACAAGAUUAUUUAGGGUAAAAUUGCCUGCAGGGUACGUUUGCUGAAGCCUGUUAAUUCCUCCUGAGGUCAGCGGGUACCGGGUGCUGGGCAGCACAGCCUCUCCUGGCCGGGCACGGUGGUCGCGUGGGCUCCGUCUGCUUCCCAAGAGACAGGGACAGUAAUGAAGAACGUGGGAUUUCCCACAGGAAUUUGGAAGAUGCCCAUGUCUAAGACAAUGGUGAGGAUUGGGCCACAAUCCAGAUGCAGCCUUGAUUCCUUCGUCCAAGUAACCCUGAGCUGACCCACGGCUGCUGAUGGAUCGCAGCGACGUGGACCUUCCUCCCUCCUCGCUGCCCUGCAUCAGAUCACCAGGAGGACCUGAGAGUACUGGAUGAACCAUCACAAGACCCUGAUUGGAAAGCCUGGGGACCAAGCACUCAGGGAGGUGGCUGAUGCAGCUGUUCCCUGGCCCUGGGCUGUGGCUCAGCUCUUGGUCAUGGCACAAGCCACCAGAGGCCAGAGGUGGGGACUGUUUCUGUCUUGGCUACUCCUCAUCAGUGCUUUGAGCUGCAGGGAGCCCUGAGAAACAAGGAAACAUGAGUGCACCACCAGGGAUUUGCUCCUCUCUACACCUGAAGCACAGCACAAAGUUCCACCCUUUGCUUCUGCAGCAAGUUCUUGUUACCCAAUUCCUGCUGACAGCAGAGGAAGAGGCACAAGUCAGCUCAGAAAAUGAACAAUUGGAAGGAAACAGAUUAUCUGUUCUCUGAGGACAGUGGAAACCCAGUAGGAUGAGCUCAUCUGGAGAAAAUGCUGGGGUCAUGAGUUGGGCUUGGAAGAAGAAACUUCUAUGUGGAGAUGUGACUGCAGUGUCAAUACUGUGCCAGGUUCUCAGCCCAAGGGGUCAUGGAUGGUGACAACUCUCAUCUACUUUGGAGCUGUUUUAUCUUCUAAGAGAAAUCAAGAAGAUGAGUUGGGAGAGAUGCUUUACUUUCUUUGGUAGGACAAUCUAUAAAUUAACAUUUAUGUAAGUGAGACUCUCACCACAUUUUUAAUGUUGUAUCACAUUUUGAGGCUAGAAAAUGUAAUGUCUUGGAACUAGGUGAUCUUGAAAGUCUUUUUCAACCCAAGCUUUCCUAUGAUUCCACGAUCUUCAGAACAAGAUGAAUAUAGUGUUAAUAAUGCAACCUUAUCUGUCCUGCCCAUAGGUGCUCCUCAGCUCUCUCUUGAGGUGACACCGUUAAGCAAGAGGUGACAAACUGGUUCCUUUCUCAAGGAAGUGUCACCUAACUGCCCGGGGCCUGUUUUGGUGGGGGUUGCACCCUGAUUUUCAAGGAGAGAUGUGCUGCUGUGGCCCCUUCCCACCCUGGCAGGAGGAGCUGAAGCUGCUCAUUCAGUUGUGACAUUUCUCAGGCAGGAAGAAAGGCAGAAGGCAUCAGGCUGUAGGGAGGGAUCAGGGCAGCCACCUUUGGACACUGGCAAAGAAACCUCCAGAACUCAUCCAGAGGAGAUGAGCUCUCAGGGCUAGAGCAUGCUGGUAAAAAGGAUGGUGGUACCUUUCUAUCCACCCAACAAGAUUUGCUACUCCUAAAUGGGGAAGAAAAUACAUCCAACCCCAAAUGCUCUCCAGCUGAUAGAUCUGCUUCAGUGAAGAGUGCCCUGAGCAGUGAUGAGUGUUGUAGGAUACAUGCUGCAGCAUUAGGAAAGUCCAAACAGCCCAAGGAGCAGUGCAGAGCAUCUGUCAAGAAAAUAGCAUGUGAAAAGCUGCUGUAAUUCCUGUCCCCAGCAGCCUAACUGGAGGCACAGACUUCCCAAGGCUUGGAGGACUUGGAGAGCUCAGGAUCCUCAGUGAGAUUCCUCCCCAAGCCCUGCAGAUUUACCAGGUCAUCUCAGUCCAGGCCAAAGUUGCCGGGAAAGGUCCUUGGCUGUACUCCAAGUUCAGUGCUCUAUUGAUUGGAAGAGGUAUUUAUUGUAGGUCAGGGUCUUGAGCCAAGACAGCUGAAGCUGCAAGGACUAAAUUGUCUAUUCCUGACCCACAGAUAAAACAAAUGGCCAGUUUUAGCCUAAUCAUCACUUCUGCCUGAGGAAAGAGAAACUCUUUGAGGUAAGUUCCCUUGGAUAUAAUUCUUUCUUUCUAGGUUGUAGAAGGGCUGCAGCUCAUACAUAUCCUGAGUCAUAAUGUGGAUUUGCACCUUUCCUGUUAAAUAUAGCUGGCUUAUGUCCAAAGGAUCCCUUCUCUCCCUAAUGCUCACUCAUAUUGUUACAACUUCUACAUUAGUUGCAGGUGUGAAAUGCCAACUGAUCCACACUUCUGGUGCUGUCAGCAGGGGAGUAAUGUGUGUCAAAGGCCUGCUUCUCAGAGGGGAGGUCACCCGGAUCUCCAUUUGCACAUCUGCUUUGCUAAACACAAAACUCUGGAGGUUUGAAAAGCUCCAGUGUGCACAAAGUGGGAUGUGAUCACUGAGGGCUGUACAGAAGGAGCUGCUCGUGCCUGUCAUUUAGUAGGCAGGACACAGAACUUUCCCUCUGUACAAAAUUCUUCCUGCAUUGCAACAGGUAACGUUUUACUUGUAAGUUCUAUAUUAAUAAGGGGAAAAAAACUACACUUCUCUGCAUUCCACAAGCAGACAGGAUACCAAGAGAUUAAAAAAGAGCCUCACACAUUAAGCAGCUUCAGAAAGAUGCUAAUAUUCAGCAUGUUCCUGCUUGGAAUGUGCAGACAUGACGAUCAGGGAAGUGCCUGAUCAGAGCUCCUGGAGCCUCCGUUGCACAGAGGCAUCCUGGUCUGGUUCUGAGGGCUUCCAGAGGAGCUUUCAAAUGUUUCUAUUCCCUGCUGUUAGUGGAUUUUUUCCAUACCUUGGAAUAAGUCUUCUGAUGGUAAUGUGUUUGCAGUUGAUGCUGAGAUAAUAGUUCUUGCUCAGGGGACCUCUAAUACACAGUAUUUUAUGCUUUCUACAUUUUAUAUGAUAUCAAAAACUCCUCCUAUAUGUACAUAUAUGCCUAAUUCUUUCUUGAGUUCUGCUAGAAUCUAGAAUAUCCUCCAGUAUCUGCCAUAAGGAUGCUCACACAUAAUCUAUACAGAAUAUUUUUUGGUCUUAAUAUGUUUGGCCUUUAAAUGCCAUAUAUUUAUGACAUCAUGAUUCUGGUUACUCUGCACUUACAGGACAUUUUAAACACAUGCAUUCAUGGAUCAUUCACCAUUAUGCAUUGCAUUUUUUCCUCUCUCAGUUGACUAUUUCCAAAAUUUUUUGGGGGAUAAUGAAACUUAUAUUGACCUUUUUAUCCAAAAUCAGAAAAUAGGGAGUUGGUCAUCAGCUGUAUGCUGAUGUUCCAUGGUUAUAACAUCACAUUACAUGGAAUUUAGAUCUUGCAUCCUCACAGUAACUUAGCCAGAAUUAAAGAAAAGUGAUUUCUAAAGUCCAAAUUAUACUGGGGAGAGCCAUGAGCUGAACAAAUAGGUCAGAGCAUGUUUCAUGAACUGAAAUGCCAGCCCUGAGCCUCUGCUGCUCAUAAUGGACAUGUCCUUAAGGGAGCUGAUGAGAAUAAUUUCCACAAGAAUCAGAAGAAAAUAAUUUUCACAAGAAUCACUUUUAAUGCUGAGGAAGGAGAGCACUUGCGUUUUAAAGAAAAGUUUGAUUCUGGCAGAGGGUCUCUGUUGGUGAGUUAGAGGAGCUGUGCUGUAGAAGACAGAGUGGCUGCUUGGCUCUCAUGGAAGCCUCUGUUGAAUUCAGGCCUUUCCCCUGAAAUUUACACCAGAAAUUCAGAAAUUUUAUCUUUGAUCAGAACAGCUUCAUUGCCUUCCUGAGUAAUAGGAAUGACAUGGGUUUCCCUGGGCUGUAUGUUAUGGACAUGACAGAAAUGGAGAAAGGGAUACUGAUUUUCUUGGAAUGAAAUACAGAAAAUUUGAGCUUGGAAAACAUUUGAGUAUAAUGUGCUGAGAGUUUAAAGAAACAUUUUUAAAGAAACAUUUUUCUAGAGCAUGCCUGUUAGUUUUAUGUUCAUUUUAGCCAUGUAUAAUUAUGAGAAACACAGACAACUCAUAAGAUUUUUUAGUUUCUGUUGAGAAUUGCCUUUUCCAAGAUAAUUCUGUACACUAUUACUUCAGCCCACUGGGUAUCAUGUAGGGAAGGUGCAAGAUUAUGCACAUGAAUAUUUCUGUCUACCACUUAGGCGUGCUGAGACAAUAUCAACUUAUACUUUCUCCUGUCAUUGGUCCUUAUUCCAUAGAGGAUAUUCUUAAUUACCAGCAAGACAAUUUGGUAAUAUCAUGUAAAGUGUAACAGCAUAAUUUCUGUGAUGAUUUACACCUGCUAAGGAUCUGAAUACUGAAUUUUAAAACAUAGUUUAAGUUCAGAAGAAAGAGUAUUUUUUCUACAAGACACUAUUUCUAUUUUUAAUAGAAAUUAUCUCAUUUAUUUAAUUUAUUGGCACUGUUCUUCUGAAUGAAAUGGAGCUUUUGAACGUGAAGACACAAUUUUUACAUAUUUUCACUGCCCUGAAAAAUUUAGAGCACACUUCUGUACUGGAUUAAAUCAACUUGAGUCUAAAAGCCUAAACACUAUUUUUGACAACUGUGCAUGAGGGACGUGCCUGUACAGGGAUUCUAAAGAAUAAAAAACCUAAAAAUAUCUCAGUUGCAAAGAAAAUUCCCUGUAUUCCUUCUUACACUUCGUAAUAGUGGUUAUAUAUAUAUCUUUUUUAACCCUCACAGGUUUAUCUCUAAUUCUGUUGGAAAUGAUUGAAAUUAUUCCAUUGACUUUAGCAAACUCUGUUUCCUGCUGGAUUAAAGGCAAUAUUUGUGUAUCAGAUUUGCUGGUGAUGUCCCACUAAUGAAACAGGUAAUUUUAUAAACAUGUCAGGGAGGGUAAGUGCCCAAUAAAAAGAUGUCAGAUAGAGAUGCACAAAUUACACUCUAUUUGUAAUGGAAAUAAAACCAGGAAUUCUUACUGUGAGUCAUGAAUUUCUUUAUAAUUGCUUCCACAUUUGGGACAAUUUUUCCCUGGGUUGUCUACAGAAACCCUGCAAUUCUUGGGGCUUCUGAUGGCACUUAUGAUCACAACAACACAUCUCAUUUCUGAUAAAAAUUACUUACUUUGGGAAGGAUUGUUUUUUUCUCAAAUUGAUUUUCUGAGUCUUUAUCUACAACUAUUUUCUUAUCCUCCUCCUCAUUUUCUAUUUCUAAAACAAAAACAAGAGUCCUUAUCAAUUUAGAAGAGCAAUAAAACUAAAGAAAAUUCAGACAGGACUGUAAAGCACAGUCUAUUUUAAAGUUCCAACUCAAAUAAUAAGACUCUGGUUUGUGCUGCACCUCACUCAUGGACUCAGUUUUCCAUAGUGCAUUCAGUGUUGUAAUAAUGCAAAUCAAAUACAAUUUUAAUAACUCCUUCCAUUAAUGUUUUAAGACUGCAACACUUAUGAGCAUGAUUCUAAUUGCAUGAUUUUGCUACAGGCAAGUUUUAUAGAUCUGUCUGAUCUUUGGAUAUUUGCACCGUUUGGAUUAUUUUAAAUAAUUAAUUUUUGGAAGAAUUUCAGUCUCGGUAACAACAGUUGGGUUUGAUAGUGGUUGUCUUGUCAGUAAUUGUAUGUAUCUGCUUCCAUGCCAGGAUAAACUAGAUAAAUUUAGAACUCUUUGGGAGGAGGGGGCUGAGGUUUAUACCAUAGCAAAUGUUAUGGAGAAUGUUCUUAGGAGGGGAAUAUUUAUAGACUAUGUUAAUACCAGGAGCAAAAGAGGUUUCAAGUGAAUAAAAUUUUGUCAUGCAGCAAAAUUAGUUAAUUAAAUUGCAGGACUUUCUGCCAAAAGAAUACCAAAAACAUAAUCAACUUAAAAUACCAUUAAACAUUUUUUUUUAAUGCGACUUCUAUUGCCAGUCUCUAAUGCACUGAGUGAUAGGAACAAGGAAAAUAUCUCAUGAAAAGAAUUAGUUUGACUUCUGACAUUUUUCUGUAUAUCUGCUGGGAGUUUCUGCCACAGGGACCAUGGAAUUAUGGAAUCAUUAAGGUGGGAAAAGACCUCUGAGAUCUUCAGUUCAACCACUGACCCAACACUGCCAGGUCUAGCACUAAACCGUGUUCCUAAGCACCAUAUCCACACAUUUUUUUUAACACCUCCAGGCAGAAUGACUGCACUUCUUCUUUGGGUAACUUGUUCCAGUGCUUGACCACCCUCUCAGUGAUGAAAUUUUCCCUAAUAUCCAACAUAAACCUCCCUUGGUGCAACUUGAGUCUUCUUCUUCUUGUCCUGUGGCUUGUUACCUGGGGGAAGAGACCAGCCCAUACCUGGCUGCAUCCUCCUGCCAGGGAGCUGUAGAGAGUGAUAAGGUCCUCCCUGAGCCUCCUUUUCUCCAGGCUGAACACCCCAAGCUCCCUGAGCUGCUCCUCAGAGGAGAUGGUGAGGGGUUUGCAGGACCUCUGGUGCAACCCAGCUGCUAUUUUCAGGGAAGCAGUUGUUUGAAAGCUUGCUCCCCUCUCCAGAAACCUGUGUAAAACCUCAGGCUUUCCUGUUAUUGUGCAAAAUGGGAUGAGGAAAACGACAGGACAUGGGAAGAAGGUAAGUGGGGCAGCAAAAGUCACAAGGAAAGCAUUUGCUGAGUGGCUGGUGAGGGCCCUUACCUUGAUACUGUCCCCAGGGUUUCUCUCUAGUGGCAGGCACUUGGCUCUCCUCCUUGUACGUGCUGUUCUUCCCCUCGAGCAUCACUUGAGAUCUGCAGCAGAAGGUUCCCUCCUUCAAGAUGAACAGAAACACCAACACAGUCUUGCCCACUCUUGAUUCCUCAUUUCUUCUGUAGAGAAUUUGCUCCAAAUUUUGCUCAUGACAAAUGCCUACACAAGGCUUGGACAAACAAGCAUUAAAAGUAUCAGUGGGAAUUUUCUUUUGGGGGUUAAAGAAUAGCUAUCAACCAAAAGUUUUACCCUGAGAGGUGUUUUUUUGCCUGCAAAAAAAAUAUGUUCUUCAGUGAAUAUGGCUUUACCCACCCCAACAGUACCUGUUUUCCUGUCUGUUUGGUGAAUUCUGUGUCUGGCAUGACAGAAAAGAACGUCUCCUCUGAAACACCCCCAGUGCAUCUUCCUUGCAGGAAAAAAUUCUAACAGUCUUGCUACAGAGUUUACACACUGACAGAGAAACAGUGCAAAGUUUCUGCAAAACCCAUGAUAAAUUUUUACUUCAACAAAAGAACUUUUAAACCAUCCUGUUUGAGAGGAAUGGAAGGGGCCAUAGGCAUAUAGGCCUUAGAGAAAUGUAAAUUUUCCGUGAAUGGAAGUAUGGAUAAUUACAGCAAUAUUUGAGAAUUUCACUGCUGAAUCAACUCAGCAUGAACUUCUCAAUUACUCUUUCUCGGAAGUCAUCCCAAACAAGAACACCCUGAUAUACUGAAUUAAUGAUAAAAGUGGAUUGUGGCUAGGGUUUUUCAUGAGAACUUUGUCCUGGAAAAUGCCAAACAAGCAAAAAGGUUUGGAUUGAAUAAUGUAGUUUUCAUGAGGCUUCUCUGCUAGGAAAAAAAAGAUGUUAAAGACUUUUAAAAAUAAUUGCAAGUCCCAAUACAUAUUAUUCUAAGUGAAUAUAUAUUUACUUUGAAAUAUAUUUUGAUUUUAAUUUUUAAUUUAUAAGUGAAAAAAAAAAGAAAUAUUUUGAAAGUACUGAAGCAAAUGGCUCAGUUAGAUUUUUCACUUUUUAGCAGCUUACUGGUUAGCCACAGAAUUAGCUGAAAAAAAGUGAAAUCCCGAAAACUCCCAAAGGACAGAAGAAAGCACUUCCCUGUCAGCUAUAAAAUGAGUGAAAAUUAUAAUGACAUUUUCAUUUAGCACAGAGAUUUACUAAAACACCCACAUUUUCACAGAAGUUGCAAAGACUUGAACUCGGACACCCUUUUGGUUUCUUCCCAGGUGUGAUGUUUAAUGAUAAUGUUUUCACUAGACCUGGUCACCCACACUCUCAGAUAAGGAGCUGGAGGUUUGCCAGCCUCUACAGGGGUAAUAAUCUCUGUUUCAUAGGCUAGCACAAGAAGGAGGGCAAGAAGCACGAGCAGGAAGUUUCACCAUUUUAUUUCAAACUAAUGCAUUUAAACAGGAAAUUAUAAUUAAAUAAUUUAGAAGUGAGCUAUCCAAGGGUAAAGAGCCCCAGAUGCCAUGAAGGGUUAAGCUUUGUAGGGCAGAGAGGAAAGGCCUGUGUAGCUUCACUGUGCUAAUGGUGUGGGGAAAGAACUUCUGAGAUGCCUGCUCAAUUUGUCAGGAUUUUAUCUUCUGAACUAUUACCUCCAGCUUUCCCCAGAACACCCUUCCCAGCCCUUUUAUCUGCGAGCUAUCUUCAAGUUAACUGUCUGCCUAUUGCCUUGGCUGAACCACACUAAUAGUCAGCUAAUUACACAUGAACACUCUAAUUUGCUUUGUCUUUCUCAAAAAACUCACGCGUGUGCAGGCACGCACGCGAGUGCACUUCUGCCCGUGCCAUGAAACUGCACCAGCUGAAUUGGGGUAAAAUUUGUUGCAUUUGUUUCCUGCCCCCUCUGAUGCUUCCCCCCACGAGGCCACCACCAACGCUUGUCAUUCCUGAUUUGCAACAUCACCUGUUGCUCCAACACCAGGCUCCUGUAGAGCAGAAACUGGAGCAAAGAAGAGAAAUACGUGUUUGUCAUUGAACUGAGCUGAGAAGAAGGAAGAGGAGAAUGAUAAGAUCAUAGCCUGCAGCACUUUGUUUAUGAGAACAUCCUUCCAGUGAUAUAUGUCUGCACCAGGUGAAAGUAUUGUGUCACCCCUAACAUAUUUUAAAUGCCAGGGCUGUCAUGCAAGAAGACAAUGAUGAACAAGUUUAAACAGAAUAUGGUUUUGUAGCCAUGUACAGAGUUACCCUUUGAAGGUUUGCACUGGUAGUGCUUCUUAGCAAAAUGUUUCCAAGCUCUGUUGUAUUCCCCUACAGAACCCCCCUCACACAGAAUUUAAACUAAAUAGAGACAUAUCUAUUGCAGGCAAACUGAUGGGGUUGUACAUAAAGCAGUGCCUUUCCUCAGGCAGGAUUUUCAGGCCAUUUCACACGUCCUCCCUACCAUACUAUCCAAGUUUGUCAUAACUCCUUGGAUAGAAGCCCUGCUCCACUCAGCAAAUAGGCAAAGAAAGCUCUGUUUACACCAUGUUCUGAGGAGCAGGGACAGGCCCAAGUCGCUGCAUGGCAGAGGUUUACUCAGACUAGCCCUAGCAUGCUCCUGUGGACUGAGCUCCCGUUAGCUGCUGCAGCUCCCAGGCCACAUCACCUGCUUUAACUCCACCCUAAAGAAUUCCCUUUGCGUGCUCCAAAGCUGCCUGGCCUGGUGGGAUGGGGUAAGCAGGGUUAUUUGCAGGAUUCUCUUCAAAAGUGCACUCCUGGGCCAAAGUGAAAGGCUAAUGCAGAAGCACCUUUCCUCAGCAGGCAGAUAUGCCCAGAGCUAUCAUCACAUGGCAGUUUUCUCCCAGAUAUUUAUCUGGAGCUCAACUGCACGAACACCAUCCCCGCGUUCUAGCGCUGUUGCACAACCCCACUCCUUGGCUCAGACUGACAGCUCAAAUUGAGCCUUGGGAAAGCCAACAUCCAACACACAACACUGAGAAUGGGCAUGACCACAUCCACCUUGGAUCCAGGUGAAAGAGUUUUAGCUGUGUGUGUCAUGUGGAAAUGAAGGCAACCGUGACACCGCGGAGUCGUACGCCGUCGAGGAAGAGUAAGGUCAGAGCCAGUCCAUGACCCAUCCAUGACAGCAUUAAUAACUAUACAAAAGAGAGGAAAGGGAGCCUCUGACUGCCUGAAAAAACCUUCAAGGAGGUAGGAUUUCUUAAGUACUUAUUAAGGUCCUGUGUGGGCUUGUGUAACGCGUUCAGCAUCUGCCCCUCAGUUUUCCUUUCUGUAAAAUGGGCAUACCUUCUUUUCCACAAGGUUAUUAGGAGGAUUUUCCAAUUAAGGUUCAUCAUAAAUGAAAGUGUCUUGCAAACAGUAUUUAAUCACCUGGCCAAAAAAUGGUCUCCAAUAUCUUUGGGCAGAAUGUGAGUUUUUACAGGCACUAGUCACAGUGUCCAGAAGGCUACGGGAUCACAGGCUGCAUCUUUAAGACAGAGUUUACUUCUGGAUCAGUAAAUGUACUAGACAAAGCAGCCAUUAUUUAUGCAUUCCUGCAUACAUGGCAAGGUGAAAAUAAUAGAAUAAACAUCAUAUACUUCAUUAUGAUAUCGGUUUACACUUCCAGGGUACACAAAAAGAGGCCAUUUCAUCAAGCUAAUUGCCUGAAAGUAAAAGAGAGAGAACUUUAGCUAUUAGUCUAUUAUGGGGCUUUUUUCUUAAUCACAAAUAGGGGCCGUGUGUCCCCAGGGGGAUGUGUAUUCUAAUUUACAAUUGAACUACAGAUCAGAGCAAUCAAUCUUGUGCAGCACUUUUACAGUGUAAUUGCUGCAACAUAACAAAUAAAAAAAAAAAAAAGCAGCCUAAGUCGAGUUUCAGCUUGAGGUGGAGAUAUUUACCAGGCAUUGGUUCGGGGUGGGAGGGAGGCAGAGAGAGGAGAGAGGCGCCAAAGCCAUGAAUAUGCAAUGAGGGCUCAUUAGUGCCCCAGUGUUGCCAUGACGAAUGGCAUUAUCCCCAGACUGGUGCAGCCUAAACAUGAAUUUUAUAACGACCCAUUUAUCAUGACUUGUCAUGGGUUUCUUUACUGUACUUUCUACUGACUCUCACACCUUCCACCAUUAGCACCUCAGGAUCUCUUCCUUUUGUUCUUUUUAUCUCAUUCCAUCUUAGUUUUUUUGGUGACGAUGCUCAGGCGAUAAGGAGAGGAGCAUUGCAAACGCUGUUGUUCAAGAGUUCAGAGCUUCCCAAGCUGAAGACCCACCACCAAAACGUGUUGGUGGUCUCCAGUCCAGUUACUGGUGGAUAAGUGUCUUCGUUGUCACAGGUAUCUGCAGUCUUGUCAGUUGACUCAGCAGAAAGGUCUCGGGUUGACCGAGCAUCCAGACAACUAUCUUUCCACUCUGGCAGAUGUGAUGGAUGAAUCUGUUUUGUUGACCUAGGCCUGUCUCCUCCUCAGCCCACUCCAUCUAUGUGCACAGUGUAACAAUCCACCCUGCAUCUUCACGUUGAAAAAGGCGCAAAAUCAGAUAAAUAAACAAAAACUGCUUUCUCCCCAGUUUCACUUAAACGAAAAAAAAAAACCAAAACAUACUAGGUCUAAAACCCAACUGAUAGGGAAAGCAUUUACUCUCCAGGAGCAAGCAAUAUUAGUCAACUCUACAGGAAAACCAAAUUACUGUGAAGUAAUUAGUGUCUGGCUUUAGCUCAUUUUUGGUCGCUGCACGUUGUCUCUGUUUUACUGCUGUCCCUUUGGCCUACCCCAUCCCACAUUUAAUAUACCACUGCUUAUAAAGAAAUCCCUGUGGCUCAGAAGGCUGAAUUGCCACUGCUGGGCUAGGGCCUGCUCUCUAGUAUAUAGAGGCUUUCAUUUCCCAAGUUAUGAAUCUGACAUCUCAUGGCCAAAUCCACGCCAGUUUAUUUCUGAGAAGUCUGUCCUCAUUAUUUAGCCCAAAUAGUUUCACUGUCAGUCUGCCCUUUUUUGUUUUUUUUUUCUCCACUGUGAAGUGGCUGGAGUAUCUGAAAGUAUCAAGCCCCUCUUUGUUGGAUUUUACACUUUUGCUAUUACAAGAAUUUGUCUUUAGGGAUAGAAAAAUCAAGCAACUUAUUUCCAGCUAUUACUUGGAUAGGACUUCAUGUUCUUAAACAAGUUCUGAGCUCCCAUGAUCUCUGAAAACAACUCUCCCGAGGUCUUACAUCAGGGAAGUCCUACAGUACUUUCAUUACUCUACUGGACGUUUGAAAAUAUUAAAAGGCAUCUAACAUCCCUGGCCAGCAAUUUAUAGACUCAAAGUCUGGCGCUGCAGCCCUCAAAACCUCUAUUUCUUCCCCAAAAUCUGCACUUUGCUAUUAUUGUUGCCAAGACAGGCACGUGUUUCACCAGGAGUAGUUUGUCAAAGGAACAGUCCAUUAUCCAAAGAUUCAUGACAGGUUCCCACUCUGGUACACGAUGGAAGAGAAGCUGGAUGUCAGAGAGGGAGGAGAAAGGAAAGCUUCCUCUAAGAAAGGUGCAUUUGGGAAAUGACACACCUUGAUUAAUCAGGGCAUUGCUGAUUAGGCCAGCAAAUGCUUGCCUUUUUUUUUUUUUUUUCUUUUUAAACCCAUCUGUGCUCCUUUGGAGAAUAUAGGUAUAUAAAAAUAUAUGUAUGUGCAGUUUUUAAAAGCCCCUGACCGCAUCUGUGACCUAUGAUGGAGAACUCCAGCUCCCACUACAAUACAAACAAUGUUCUGUUAAUUAUCAGGAGACAAAAGAAUGAUAGAAAUUACUCUUAAAGAAGCAAACCCGAAAUGACAUCUAAUAUUGGAGAAAAUGUCCACUGUCUUCACAAGGACUCAGGACACAGCAAAUAUUAUCAUUAUUCCUGAGAAUAAAUGUUUGCCCUAUGACCCAGGUGAUCUGAUCACCUGUUGAGUGGAGAGAAUGGAGAGUUGUCACAAACAAUGUGGUUUAAUUAAAUUAUUUUAAUUUAGCUCCUAUUAGGAGUACUUAAACUGACUGUACUCAGUCUAUAAGAUCUGACUGAUACAUCUGAUCCAUUAUCUGCAGUUUAUGGGAUGGAAUAAGCAGAUUCCUGUUUGAGUUGGUAGCAGGAAGUCACAGGUCCUAUCUACGGAGGUUAUUCCAUUAUUUUAUACCAAUACCUGCAGAUCCCUUUGAGAAAUAAGCUCAUCUUUAUUCCACUCACCUCAAGAAGCAGAAAGACAUGGAAACAAGGAAUACUAUGGGCCAGCCAAUGCAGAUGACACCGAGCUCUGGGUCACUUUAGCACCCAGGAAUCACAGAAACACAUCAGAGUUUUGUAGGUUGAGAUCAACAACCAUAUGGAGGACAGCUGCCCAGGAAAGGAAAACAUUCACUAUUCCUCAGUCAACCCACAAAUGGCAAUCAUUAAAAUAAAAUAAUUGCAAUCUUUAAAAUAUUAAGUCCUUGGUUCUAAACUGACAGGACUCUAAUUAUAGGAAACACAAAAAUUUCAGGAGAAAAAGACUACUUUCAUUGUCAUAAGAAUCCAGCUUCCAAUAAAGUAUCAGAUUUGAGAUUGUUUCAGAGAGAAAUUAAGGAAUAUAAGCAAUACUUUGAGGUGGAAGAAAAAUCUAUAUGGUAGGACCAAGUAUUUAUCCUGAAUUUAUGGUAAUUUUUGUGACUGAGUGCUGUAGGAUCAGAAACAGGCUAUCAGCAGACUCACAUGAAAAUUCUGCAUUAAAUACAUAUAUUUGAAUGUAAUAAAAUUCUGACCAUAUAAUAAAAAUCUGCAAAAUUAUAUAUGCAGUAGUCUUUUACAUUUACAGAUAGAAUUAAUAAACUUAAGAUAAAAAAAAAAAAAACUCUGAGAAAAACUUCAGGUGUGAUUGCUAUUCAAUGCUUUUCAAUGUCCUUUCAACUGACAUGUAUACAAGAAAAUUUAAAAAACCAUAAACCCAGGCACUAUUUCUCUGUGUAAAGUGAUGCUCUUUUAAAGACAUGAUAAAAUUCUAAGCCUGAACACAAAACUCCUUCUGACUGAAUAUUGAAGUGUUUGAACACCCAGGCAGUGACAGGGACAUAUCCUUAUAUGCUUGUAAGGGCUCCUGAUUGUGCUAAAUAAACCUGACCAGCCCUUUUUUGCUAUUUUUGCAGAGAAAUUCAUCCCUCCCUUUUUAGUUCUGUUUCAAAUAUGAGAUAUUUUUUUUUCUCUGUUCAAAGCUUGGCUUUAGUCAUCCUAAUGAACUAAUGAUCUUUUCCAUUGGAUGUACUUCAGCUUUGUCUUUAAGGCUCCUCACCUUUCUCCAAAUGGAGCCAAUGGCUUGCUGCUCCCCACUUUUAAACAAACAAACACAAAGUCCUCCUUCCCCCUUCCUCCCCACUUUCUUUAAUGACAUCUUCAGUCAUUAAUGAGUUAAUAAAAAUCUCAAAGUCAUCUGGGAAUAGAUAAGGGGGAAGAAAGAAGAGUAUUGUACACAUAAUGACAGGCUCCCUGCUGGCCCUAAGAUGUCAUGGGUCAGCCAUGUCAAGAAUGUGUGUGCCCAAUCAUCUGCUGAUUUUUAUCAGCAAGGCCUGAAGCAGAAUCUGACACGGCCAGUUUGGGAGUUACGAUGAAUAAACAAUGACUUCUUGGAUUGUUGGCGGCUGUGUGAUAGAGUGAGAGGGUUUAUAUAUACUAAAACAUGAUGACAUUAGCAAUCAAUAUACCAAUUACUGGACAAGUUAUUGGACGAAGAAUGCACAUGUCCUGAGCUUUGUGCACUUUGAACAUGCUACCAGCAAAGGAGACCACAGAAAUAAUGUUAAUUAACCCAUUCCAAGCUCGAUAUGCUAAUACCUGAUGAUUCCUUGAAGUUUCUGAGAACAUGAGGUAGGUAAAAACCUUGGUCUGAUAUAGCACAUUAAACAUUUGAAAUAUCAGACACAAGCCUGACAAAUUUAUUUUUCAUCAGGACUUGAGGAAGAAAGGAAUACAUUUUUUCAAGUGAGCAGCUGAGAUUCUAACAGACUUAAAUUGUUCUCUAUAAAAUUUCACCUAAACACCAUCAGCAUACUACACAAAUUUCAUCACUGAGAAGUUAGAACAUGUCUCCUAUAGCUUGGUUAAGGAAAUAUCCCAACAACUCCCACCUGCCUAUUCUUAAACAGAGAAAGGAAGAUAAAACUAACAUGCUUUUUUAUUUCUGUGUGACUGCAAAUGCAUUUCUGCAUCUGAUCAGUCUCUUACAUUCUUUAGUGUGCUCAAAAUAUUCAGUGUUUAUGAGUUUGUCUUCUCUUAUUCUGGAAGUGAUUGUGAAGAUAAAAUGACAGUAUUUUAAUUGAAGCCAGAAUAGAAUGGGACUAUAUGAAUCACCUAAUUCCAAGUACAAUACAGAAGGAAACUAAAGUGGAGAUCAACGUUGCAGACAGAUCUAGAUUGGAGUUAAAUGGUGUCAGCUCUCCAUUAAGAUGGACAAGUCCAUCAUCUAAUGGAAAGCUCAUGGGUUUUGCCCUGAGAUGCAUUGUUAAAAUGAUGUGGUAAAGACAGAUUUUAUGAUGGUUCUCCAUCCUUUUCUGUGUAGUCUCUGAAUGACAAUUUUACUGCCAUCUGGGAAGCAGCAAUGCCGUGGAACCUUUGACUUUUGCUCAGGUGGGAGCAAACAAGGCAGGGUGUAAAUAUAAAAUUUAACUCUGACUGCCAGGGCAUCAACCAAUGCAGUAGAAAUUGGGAGUAAGAAGGGAAGAGAAGAGUUCAGCCACCAGAGUGGCUCUGUGUACAUGCUGUGUGUCAGGGGCUGAGUAAAAUCUGCAGAUACAUCACUUUUGUGAUCUUACUCUAAAUUACAAUCAAAUCUGCUCCUGCUCCUCAGAGCACUAAGCACUUCUCAGAGUUGUGUUGGAUGGUCAUGGCAAAGGGACCAGCCUCAGACAAAGGGGGAAAAACAGAUGAGGCUCCAUCUGGUUUUAACUGCAGUGGCUAUGAAGUGUUCAGCUGGAUCCUUCCAAAUGGCUCUUCCUUUCCCAUUGAGUUAGCUCUUGAAAAGUUUAAAAGUGAAUUUGUCCAGCAUGUGUGAUAUGAAUAACAAAAUGCUUUUAAAUGUAAAUGUUUCAUAAAAUAGCAGCAUUACCAUACAUUGCAGUGAAUACAGUUAAAAAAUCCAACUCAAUAAUCCCUCCUCUGUAAUUUACAAUUAACUUUUUGCCUCAAGGUAACAGCUACAUUCACAAAAAUAAUGGUAAUAGAUUGACCUUGUUAUGAAUGGAUAACAAGCUGGAAACAAUAUAGUUUGUCACAGAGCAUUAACUGUUACUGUUGAAAUUGUAAAUAAUGUGUAUAGAACUUACAAUGUAAAUGGCUCCCCUUAAAAAUAUUAAUUAUGUCAAUUAAACACUUGAUGCAUAAUGGAUUAUUCUGAAGCCUAUUUAAGUCCAUGUCAGACUGAGUACACCAUUUUCUAAGAUCCCAUUCCCAGGCUACUGGAAAAAUCCAUGGCUGUGCUUUGACUGCUCAAGGUGGACAAAGGAAUAUUGCCUUAAAUUAAAGAUAUAUGGCUGCCUCUUUUGUUUACAUUUCUCACUGCUUUUUCUCAUCAGAAGAUGAGACUGUUUACAGACACAAGGCUCUUCUGAAGUGUUUUCAGGCUACUUUAGAAACUGUUGAAAAGCAGCUCUCAUCCAGCAGUGCUGGCCAAUCCCUGGAGGAAUUCCGUGGGCUACAGAGAACUCUGUUGGCUUUUGUGCCACUUUGGAAUCAGUGGAUAGAGAAGGAUAGAUCAGGUCUUACACCUGGCUGGUUUCUCUCACCAGAGUGAUCUCACUCAGCAUUCUCAAGCCAGUGAAAGCUGAGGGUGAUGCUGUUCAAAUCUCCUCCCUGUGUGUCAUUUGGAGCCCGGGCUGUGUUCCUCCAGGAGAAGGAGGUUGCUACCACAUGGCUUUAUGGAGUGACCCCAAGCUGAUAUAUAACACAUGGCUUAGAAAAAAUUCAUUUUCUCCUAGUGUCUGAUGACCACCAAUUCAUGAACAAGACCCUGAAAUGUACUUUUUGUGCUUCCCAGCCACAGCUCCUCAGCUGUAGCUCAAGACUGGACUUAACGGCACAAUGCUUAAGUGUUCUGGCCAAUUACCAUGUUGCAUUAUAAAAGAAGGAUUCCCACUAGAUUAUCCACAUAGAGAAAGUGAUACUAAAACGACAAGCCACCAAGAGGUCAAAUAACCAGUUGCCAGAAGUUAAAAUAACUAGACUGUGGAGCAGCAAUAUCUGAGGAGCUGGCAUGUGUCCCAGGACUGGUUGUCAUACAAAUGAAAGAAAAGACAGCUGGAAUCUUUUUGGAUUGACUGUUAUUUUCUGUGAAUAUAAUGUAAAUCUACCACUCUGGUUUUUCAACCAGACGCCUGAACUGGGAGUUUAGAAACUGAUUCAGUAAAAUAUAAGGUCUCUUUAUAUCUCAUUUUUCCAUGUGUGAGUUUCAUCUACUUUGUUUAGCUUUAUCCUUUGGGAUCAAAGACUGUUCAGACUGUCUGAGCACCAAGAGUCUGAUUACAGUUUGGGCUCUCCAGUAAUCCAAGCAAAUACAUUACAUCCUCUCUUGCCAAAAGGUGUGUUCCCCCAUCUGGGCAGCCACAAAGUCUCCACAAAUGUCUAAAUGAGCAGGCACCUCUACCCACCAUGGAGCCAAAAUCCCAGCCAGGCUGGGUAGGCUCUCCACCCAAUGAUUUUCCCUGGGCAGGUCUUGUUUCACCAUCAGUUAAAGUGUAGCUGUUUGCUAUACAUUCGGUGCCAUCUCUUUAAAGAUGUAUAUCUGAGUGGGCAAGAAAGUUAGGGAUUAGCAAUGGGCAGAGGUCAAGUCUGUCAAGACUUUAAGCAUGUUGUUGGUUGUAAAAAAGAUUACGUUACUGGCAGCCCUUUGCCAGAUCAGUACUUCGAUGCCAAAUGUUAAUCCUUGCUGGGGACAAGAUGGCUUGUAAAUGUUAUGGGAGAACACAGCUUUUUCCUGUAGAAAACAGGCAUUUAUGGUUAAAACAUGGAUUGUUUUCUCAUGCUUGUGUUUGCAUUUCAUGCCAAUUCACUCUUGCUUGCUAUGAGCUUCGCUUCAGUACUUACAUUUAAUCACUUAAGGUCUUUAUUUGUAUAGUUGAGGACAGAAUGGUUGAGUUCUUGAAGCACUGGGGAGUAAAAGAGCCAGAGCUCAGCCUCAAGUUUUGCCAAAGGACUUGCACUGUGAAACUGGGCAAAAGCCCACUGAACUUUACUUUUCUCAUCUGUACAAUGGAGCUCCAUUUAAAAAGGAUCCUGUAAAAUUU
Passer domesticus (house sparrow) is the source of this 36365-nucleotide RNA transcript. RefSeq lists it as uncharacterized. The transcript has 8 exons. NCBI's taxonomy places the organism in Eukaryota, Metazoa, Chordata, Aves, Passeriformes, Passeridae. The record is from RefSeq and is a predicted model, not a curated record.